This 556-nucleotide ribosomal RNA is filed under the name Bacillus thuringiensis. Its description in RNAcentral is "bacterial SSU rRNA". It matches the Rfam family "Bacterial small subunit ribosomal RNA", at positions 895 to 1450 of the family's 1533-position model. The record is from RNAcentral. Lineage: Bacteria; Bacillati; Bacillota; Bacilli; Caryophanales; Bacillaceae.
UGAAACUCAAAGGAAUUGGCGGGGGCCCGCACAAGCGGUGGACCAUGGGGUUUAAUUGGAAGCAACGCGAAGACCCUUACCAGGUCUUGACAUCUUCUGACAACCCUAGAGAUAGGGUUUCUCCUUCGGGAGCAGAGUGACAGGGGGUGCAUGGUUGUCGUCAGCUCGUGUCGUGAGAUGUUGGGUUAAGUCCCGCAACGAGCGCAACCCUUGAUUUUAGUUGCCAUCAUUAAGUUGGGCACUCUAAGGUGACUUCCGGUGACAAUCCGGAGGAAGGUGGGGAUGACGUCAAAUCAUCAUCCCCCUUAUGACCUGGGCUACACACGUGUUACAAUGGACGGUACAAAGAGCUGCAAGACCGCGAGGUGGAGUUAAUCUCAUAAAACCGUUCUCAGUUCGGAUUGUAGGCUGCAACUCGCCUACACGAAGCGGGAAUCGUUAGUAAUCGCGGAUCAGCAUACCGCGGUGAAUACGUUCCCGGGCCUUGUACCCCCCCCCCUUCCGGCCACGAGAGUUUGUAACACCCGAAGUCGGUGGGGUACCCUUUUUGGGAAGC